GACGGAGGGGGCGAGCGUUGUCCGGAAUUACUGGGCGUAAAGGGCGCGUAGGCGGCUUUUUAAGUCGGUUGUGAAAGCCCCGGGCUCAACCCGGGGAGGCCAGCCGAUACUGGGGAGCUUGAGUGCAGGAGAGGGAAGUGGAAUUGCCGGUGUAGCGGUGGAAUGCGUAGAUAUCGGCAAGAACACCCGCGGCGAAGGCGGCUUCCUGGACUGCAACUGACGCUGAGGCGCGAAAGCUAGGGGAGCGAACAGG
Molecule: ribosomal RNA, 253 nt
Filed under: uncultured bacterium
Lineage: Bacteria
Description: partial 16S ribosomal RNA
Rfam family: Bacterial small subunit ribosomal RNA
Source: RNAcentral